CGCGUAGGCGGCCCGGUAAGUCCGCCGUAAAAGUCAAAGGCUCAACCUUUGAAUGUCAGUGGACACUGCCGGGCUAGAGUCCGGAAGAGGCGAGUGGAACUCCUGGUGUAGCGGUGGAAUGCGCAGAUAUCAGGAAGAACACCGACGGCGAAGGCAGCUCGCUGGGACGGUACUGACGCUGAGGCGCGAAAGCGUGGGGAGCGAACA
RNAcentral lists this ribosomal RNA (207 nucleotides) under uncultured bacterium. Its description in RNAcentral is "partial 16S ribosomal RNA". It matches the Rfam family "Bacterial small subunit ribosomal RNA", at positions 568 to 774 of the family's 1533-position model. The record is from RNAcentral.